This is a long non-coding RNA of Gadus macrocephalus (Pacific cod), 1435 nucleotides long. RefSeq lists it as uncharacterized. The record is from RefSeq and is a predicted model, not a curated record. The transcript is spliced from 4 exons. Lineage: Eukaryota; Metazoa; Chordata; Actinopteri; Gadiformes; Gadidae.
UCGGCGAUCACAACUGUCUCAAAAACACACCCUCUAAGCACUAUAACAACACGUGUGAAUGUUGUCACCAAUUACAUUUUUCCAUCACAGUAUGCUUGGUACCUUGCCAAGGAGGCAACGUUUGACUUCACUGUUAAAGACAUGCCUGUCCUCAGAAAAUGGUGGUGCACAGUACUGCUUGAGAACUUCCAUCUGGAUGGGCACGGCAGAAGGUUCCCACACUUCAUGGAGGAGGCCAAACAAAUGGCGGCUGAACUACUUCCAGUCUUCAGACUGAAGCGAAAAAGAGAAGUGAAUGACGUUUCCAGUGACAGAAUACAAAUAAUAUAUUGUAUAGGCUUAAUAUUGAUUUUAACUGUUUGAUUCUUUUGACAGUGAGUUGAAGCUGAUGGCAGUCAGCAUGAAGAAGCUAUAUCUUUUGGCUUCUGUAGAUUAUUUGUUAAAUAAAUUGUGAAGAAACUUUGGUGUGGUUAUUCUUCAAUGUAUAUUUAUAUCAAAUUAUGAUGGUAUACUUUACAAAAAAAUUAAUGUGAUUCAAUCAGACAUAUUAAAACAAUUACUUAAUUCUAAUUACUUAAUUCUAAUGGUCAAUUACUCAAUGAGUAAAGUGUAUAAUACACAAUUCCAUUAAAUAAUUGUCUACACCCUAAAUCAGUUUUUUCGUCUAUAUAACGUUAAUAAAAUUAAGCUAUAAAAAAAGCUUACUGACAUGUCAUAAUAUUGUUUUAUUCUAAUGUUUUGGUCUAAUAAGUUUAAGAACGCAAAGAAAAAAUCCUGAGGUAUUUGUCUAAAUAACGUUAAACCUUUAUUAAGCUCUAAAAGUGGUUACUAACGUGUCGAAAUAUUAUUUUAUUUCUAUGUUUUGUUAAUUCAAGCGAUAAAUACGUUUACCGGUAUUUGUCUUCCGUCCAGCCACAGUACUUCUGUCCCGCCUGGGUGUUCUGUCAUGGCAGGGUGUUGUUCUCCGGGGCUGCAGUUGGAUACUAUUGGAUUUCUGUGGCAAGGAAGGCGAAAUCAUAGGAGUUGAACUUCGGUUGAGAUCUUUGAACAGAAAACUAUUAAAAAAUAUAUAUGCAUAGAUAAAACGAGUAUAGCAACGUUAGACUUGCCUGCAAAUAAAAAUAUAUGCUGCAACUCAAUACUUGGGUUUAAAGUUGCUCGUCGGACUGUAAACAAUUACACGCCGACGGAUGAGGAAUUCUAGCCCCUGAUAUCCGGCACUACCGGUGCCCCGGAUAUAUCGUCCCCAUAGGUAGCUUUCUGGUGGAAUCUGUUGUAGCGGACGUAAAUCAGUGAUCUGCACAAACGCUAAUACUCUUAUCUCGCUGAAAUCUUGAAGGAUUUACAAACGGUUUGGUUUCUUACAAACUUUAGCUUUUUCUGAGUUUUAGUAGAACAUAUAUUGAUUCAACAUAAAUAACAUGAAUACCUUCUG